GGACAGAUGGCCGAGUGGUUAUGGCGUGUGACUCAAGCUUUCUUUCAAGCUUAGUUGAUGGAAAAUUAACUAGCAUUCUCAUGGGCUUAGCCCGCGGGGGUUCGAAUCCCCCUCUGUUCA
RNAcentral lists this transfer RNA (120 nucleotides) under Sclerotinia sclerotiorum 1980 UF-70. It matches the Rfam family "tRNA". Rfam says of the family: Transfer RNA (tRNA) molecules are approximately 80 nucleotides in length. Their secondary structure includes four short double-helical elements and three loops (D, anti-codon, and T loops). Further hydrogen bonds mediate the characteristic L-shaped molecular structure. tRNAs have two regions of fundamental functional importance: the anti-codon, which is responsible for specific mRNA codon recognition, and the 3' end, to which the tRNAs corresponding amino acid is attached (by aminoacyl-tRNA synthetases). tRNAs cope with the degeneracy of the genetic code in two manners: having more than one tRNA (with a specific anti-codon) for a particular amino acid; and 'wobble' base-pairing, i.e. permitting non-standard base-pairing at the 3rd anti-codon position. The record is from Rfam by way of RNAcentral. Lineage: Eukaryota; Fungi; Ascomycota; Leotiomycetes; Helotiales; Sclerotiniaceae.